RNAcentral lists this ribosomal RNA (450 nucleotides) under uncultured bacterium. RNAcentral's name for it is "SSU rRNA". It matches the Rfam family "Bacterial small subunit ribosomal RNA", at positions 26 to 523 of the family's 1533-position model. The record is from RNAcentral.
AGAACGAACGCUGGCGGCAGGCCUAACACAUGCAAGUCGAACGCUCUCGCAAGAGAGAGUGGCGCACGGGUGCGUAACGCGUGGGAAUCUACCCUUGACUACGGAACAACGUCGGGAAACUGACGCUAAUACCGUAUAAUGACUCCGGUCCAAAGAUUUAUCGGUCAGGGAUGAGCCCGCGUUAGAUUAGCUAGUUGGUGAGGUAAUGGCUCACCAAGGCUACGAUCUAUAGCUGGUCUGAGAGGAUGAUCAGCCACACUGGGACUGAGACACGGCCCAGACUCCUACGGGAGGCAGCAGUGAGGAAUAUUGGACAAUGGGGGCAACCCUGAUCCAGCCAUGCCGCGUGAGUGAUGAAGGCCUUCGGGUUGUAAAACUCUUUUAGAUGUGACGAUGAUGACGGUAACAUCAGAAAAGCUCCGGCUAACUUCGCGCCAGCAGCCGCGGUAA